UUUUUUCUUGAAAUCUCAUUCAAAGAGGUAUUAUUGUAAUUCCAAAGAGUGUUACUCCAGAAAGAAUACGUAGUAAUAUCCAGGUUUUCGAUUUUUCUCUAUCCAAAGACGAAAUGUAAUAUAUCGAUAAGAUAAAAACAAAACGACGUUACUUUGAUGUCGCAGCUAUGUUUAAAGACCACCCAGAACGUCCAUGGUGAAAGAAGAAAAUUGAACAAAAAUGUAGCAUUUUGUCAUACUUAUUAUUUACGCCCAAAGUUUUAUUUUUAAAUGGACAUUUAUAUUAGAAGGCAUUUAAAAAUGUUCUU
Long non-coding RNA from Saccostrea cuccullata (small rock oyster), 308 nucleotides. RefSeq lists it as uncharacterized. The record is from RefSeq and is a predicted model, not a curated record. The transcript has 3 exons. NCBI's taxonomy places the organism in Eukaryota, Metazoa, Mollusca, Bivalvia, Ostreida, Ostreidae.